Molecule: ribosomal RNA, 336 nt
Filed under: Rhopalomyia tanaceticola
Lineage: Eukaryota; Metazoa; Arthropoda; Insecta; Diptera; Cecidomyiidae
Description: partial 16S ribosomal RNA
Source: RNAcentral
AUUUUUAAUUGGAAUCUUGUUUGAAUGGUUAAAUGAAAUAAAUGCUUUUUUAUUUUAAUUUUUGAAUUUUAUUUUUAAGUAAAAAAGCUUAAAUAAUUAUAAGGGACGAGAAGACCCUAUAGAAUUUUAAAUAUAUUAUUAUAUUUUAUAAAUUUAUAAUUUUUAUUUUAUAUAUUAAUAAUUUUUUGUUGGGGCGAUAAUUAAAUUUUUUAAACUUUAAAUAUAUUUUCAUUUAUUAAUGUUUUUAUGAUCCUUUAUUAUUGAUUAAAAAAAUAAAUUACCUUAGGGAUAACAGCAUAAUAUUAUUAUGAAGUUCUUAUUUUUAAUAUUGUUUAU